This 502-nucleotide ribosomal RNA is filed under the name uncultured Glomus. RNAcentral describes it as "SSU rRNA". It matches the Rfam family "Eukaryotic small subunit ribosomal RNA", at positions 569 to 1075 of the family's 1831-position model. The record is from RNAcentral. Lineage: Eukaryota; Fungi; Glomeromycota; Glomeromycetes; Glomerales; Glomeraceae.
AGCAGCCGCGGUAAUUCCAGCUCCAAUAGCGUAUAUUAAAGUUGUUGCAGUUAAAAAGCUCGUAGUUGAAUUUCGGGGUCAGUAGGCUGGUCGUGCCACAGGUAUGUACUGGUCUUACUGAUUCCUCCUUCCUGAUGAACCGUAAUGCCAUUAAUUUGGUGUUGCGGGGAAUCUGGACUGUUACUUUGAAAAAAUUAGAGUGUUUAAAGCAGGCUAACGCUUGAAUACAUUAGCAUGGAAUAAUGAAAUAGGACGAUCGAUCCUAUUUUGUUGGUUUCUAGGAUUGACGUAAUGAUUAAUAGGGAUAGUUGGGGGCAUUAGUAUUCAAUUGUCAGAGGUGAAAUUCUUGGAUUUAUUGAAGACUAACUACUGCGAAAGCAUUUGCCAAGGAUGUUUUCAUUAAUCAAGAACGAAAGUUAGGGGAUCGAAGACGAUCAGAUACCGUCGUAGCCUUAACCAUAAACUAUGCCGACUAGGGAUCGGAUGAUGUAAUUUUUAAUGA